This 72-nucleotide transfer RNA is filed under the name Perkinsus olseni. RNAcentral's name for it is "tRNA-Pro". It matches the Rfam family "tRNA". Rfam says of the family: Transfer RNA (tRNA) molecules are approximately 80 nucleotides in length. Their secondary structure includes four short double-helical elements and three loops (D, anti-codon, and T loops). Lineage: Eukaryota; Perkinsozoa; Perkinsida; Perkinsidae. The record is from RNAcentral.
GGUUGUGUGGUCUAGUGGUAUGAUUCUCGCUUAGGGUGCGAGAAAUCCCGAGUUCAAUUCUCGGCACAGCCC